AGAAAAAGUAACCCAUGUUUCCUUAGGAAGGUUUUCGGUUUAACACCAUAGUCCCCUAAAAGGUCGUCUAAUUCCUCUCCCUUUUUCUGCAGUGUAACCCUUUCCAUUUUUUCCUAUAUCUCUCCAUCUAUUCUCUCCCUCAAACAACUAUAACUAUUCAAAAUUUCAGUUCUAAAUCAUUGUAAACAAAACCUACAUUCUGUUGUUUCCUCCCCUUGACUCUCCCUCAAAACAGCCCCUGACCUCCCAUCUAUUUUCUGUCUCCAAUGUUCACUCAUACUUGUCAAUUUUUUUAAUUUUUAAAUUAAUUUACAUUCAGUUGUCCCUCUCUCUUUAUCGAAUCUGAUUUAUUCUUCUGGGUUACUUUUAGUCAUUC
This 376-nucleotide long non-coding RNA is filed under the name Carica papaya (papaya). RNAcentral's name for it is "long non-coding RNA (CPAP_LNC016284)". The record is from RNAcentral. Lineage: Eukaryota; Viridiplantae; Streptophyta; Magnoliopsida; Brassicales; Caricaceae.